Monodelphis domestica (gray short-tailed opossum) is the source of this 2151-nucleotide long non-coding RNA. Lineage: Eukaryota; Metazoa; Chordata; Mammalia; Didelphimorphia; Didelphidae. The record is from Ensembl.
CCAGCCUUCCACCUCCUAGUCCCAUACCUUUUCCACUAGGUCACAGUGAAGCCCCCAUUUGGGGCACAAAUAUGAAAUUCUGUACCCAAAUUCACAGGGUGCUAGGUGGCACAGUGGGUAGAAUCAGGAAGACUCAUCCUUCUGAGUUCAAAUCUGGCCUCAGAUACUUCCGUGCAGUGUGACUCUAGGCAAAAACACUUACCCUCAUCCGCUUGUUUCCUCAUCUAUAACGUGAUAGAGAAGGAAAUGGCAAACCAAGGCAGUAUCUUUGCCAAGAGAAUGCCAAGGAGGGUCGUGACGAGACAGACAUGACUGAACGACAACCAGAAUGGGCAGUAGAAUAGUAUGAAGUCACCUUGGGCAGCUUCAAAUUAUGCACAGAUUAAAAUGGGAAGAGACUGAGCUGAGCCAGUACGUUUUCUUUCUUUCUUUCUUUCUUUCUGUCUUUCGAUGUGUUUCUUUCUUUCUUUCUUUGUUUAUUUCGUUGUUUCUUUCUUUCUUUCUUUCUUCCUUCCUUCCUUCCUUCCUUUCUUCCUUCCUUCCUUCCUUCCUUCCUUCCUUCCUUCCUUUCUUUCUUUCUUUCUUUCUUUCUUUCUUUCUUUCUUUCUUUCUUUCUUUCUUUCUUCCUUCCUUCCUUCCUUCCUUCCUUUCUUUCUUUCUUUCUUUCUUUCUUUCUUUCUUUCAUUCUUUCUUUCUUUCUUCCUUCCUUCCUUCCUUCCUUCCUUCCUUUCUUUCUUUCUUUUCUCUUUGUUUCUCUCUUUCUCUCUUCCUUCCUUCCUUCUUCCUUCCUCCCUUCUUUCUUUCUUUUUCUUUCUUUCUUUUUUCUUUCUUCUUCCUCCAUUCCUCCAUCCCUCCCUCCAUUUCUUCCUCCUUUCCUUCCUUCCUUCCUUCCUUCCUUCCUUCCUUCCUUCCUUCCUUCCUUCCUUCCUUCCUUCCUUCCUUCCUCCCUCCCUUCCUUCCUUCCUUCCUUCCUUCCUUCCUUUCUCCCUCCCUUCCUUCCUCCCUUUCUUCCUCCAUUCCUUCCUUCCUUUCUUGUCAAAAGGAUAGUGUACUGGGCCUGGAGUCAAGAAAACCCAAAUUCUGUCCAACCUCAGACCAUUACUAUCACUUAACUUCUAUCUGCCUCAGUGUGCCUAGUUGUAAAGUGAAGAUAUUAAUAGCACCUGCUUUCCAGAGUUGUUUUGAGGAUCAAAUGAGAUAAUAUUGUAAAGUGCUUAAUACAGUGCCUGGCAUGUAUUAAAUAAUGUGAAAAAUAAUUGAUUUAUUGAUCCAUGAUCUAGCCUUGGUUUAUUUUUAAUCAAAAUUACUCUGCGUAGUGUGAUACCAUAAAUGAUUGUUCAGUAUCCCCAUAUUCACAUGUAGUCAAAUCUAGGUUGAUUAUAGAGAUAUUGAUCCAUAUUACAUUCACAUCAGGUCAAAGAAAUUCUCUCUUACAUGAGACUUUUUAGGCUAUAAGAAGAAGAUUUAAGACCAUAUACUAGGAAUUGUGAGGGCAUUUGCUUAACCAUAAAAAUAUCUAGCUAGCAGAUCUCCACCCAUGUGGACUGAUGAGUGAUGCCAACACAAAGAAGGGGAUCAUCUGGACAUCUGCCAUCUGAUGCUUUUCCCCUAUCCAAUUUGGGGAGAUAAGCGUGUCAUUGCCCAUCUUAUGACUCUUUAGUCAUCAAUGGGUAUACAUCCUGCCUAUCCUGUGAUCAGAAAUGACCCUUAUCUCGCCCCUCUUGUGACCACUCAUGGAAAGUCCCCAAGUUAUUUUAGGAACUCCUUGACCCUUUGUCAUUUCCCGCAAUUAACUAACAUUGGGUAGGAUUCUGCCUGCUUGAUGACCGCCCAACUAUGGCCUUUGCUUCCUGCCCUUUGCCUCCAGACCACCAGUGUGAUCAUGGGACCACCAAUGAGAAUUUGUAUUUUUUGUUGUUUUUUAAUCUUUAUUUUUAAAUAUUUUCCCAUGUUUACAUGAUUCAUUUUCUUUCCCUUCCCCCUUCCCUCUCCCCUCCCAGAGCCAACAAGCAAUUCCAAUGGGUUGUACAAACAUUAUCACUUGAUACCUAUUUCCAUAUUAUUCAUUUUUGCUAUAGAGGGACUUUUUUAAAGCUUACACCCCAAAUUGCAUAUGCAUAUAUACCUGUGAUAAAUGAUGUCAUGUGUUCU